RNAcentral lists this ribosomal RNA (460 nucleotides) under uncultured bacterium. RNAcentral describes it as "partial 16S ribosomal RNA". It matches the Rfam family "Bacterial small subunit ribosomal RNA", at positions 338 to 795 of the family's 1533-position model. The record is from RNAcentral.
CCUACGGGAGGCAGCAGUGAGGAAUAUUGGUCAAUGGUCGGGAGACUGAACCAGCCAAGCCGCGUGAGGGAGGAAGGUACAGAGUAUCGUAAACCUCUUUUGUCAGGGAACAAAGACUGGGACGCGUCCCCGGAUGAGUGUACCUGAAGAAAAAGCAUCGGCUAACUCCGUGCCAGCAGCCGCGGUAAUACGGAGGAUCCGAGCGUUAUCCGGAUUUAUUGGGUUUAAAGGGUGCGCAGGCGGUGUGUUAAGUUAGCGGUGAAAUGCCGGGGCUCAACCCCGGAACCGCCGUUGAUACUGGCAGUCUCGAGUUGGAGUGAGGUAUGCGGAAUGCGCGGUGUAGCGGUGAAAUGCAUAGAGAUCGCGCAGAACUCCGAUUGCGAAGGCAGCAUGCCGGCUCCACACUGACGCUGAGGCACGAAAGCGUGGGUAUCGAACAGGAUUAGAUACCCCAGUAGUC